GGGGGAAUCGCGGUAGUAACGCAGCGAUCCACAUUCACCUAGCCGCCUUGUCCGCUGCACGUUGAUAAAAAUGGAAAUUAAUAGUCCUGUGGCUAAUGGAAUACCAGACAAUUUCGAAACAAUUACGGCCAGAGAGGUUAAGGAGUACAGAAUAGCUUAUGGUCAUUAUCUUCCACCAACACAAAUCCUGCGCCUCCUGGAGCCACGCGCUUAUUUUGC
Schistocerca nitens (vagrant locust) is the source of this 219-nucleotide long non-coding RNA. RefSeq lists it as uncharacterized. NCBI's taxonomy places the organism in Eukaryota, Metazoa, Arthropoda, Insecta, Orthoptera, Acrididae. The transcript has 3 exons. The record is from RefSeq and is a predicted model, not a curated record.